GACGAACGCUGGCGGCGUGCCUAAUACAUGCAAGUAGAACGCACAGUUUAUACCGUAGCUUGCUACACCAUAGACUGUGAGUUGCGAACGGGUGAGUAACGCGUAGGUAACCUGCCUGGUAGCGGGGGAUAACUAUUGGAAACGAUAGCUAAUACCGCAUAAUAUUGAUUAUUGCAUGAUAAUUGAUUGAAAGAUGCUAUUGCAUCACUACCAGAUGGACCUGCGUUGUAUUAGCUAGUAGGUGAGGUAACGGCUCACCUAGGCGACGAUACAUAGCCGACCUGAGAGGGAGAGCGGCCACACUGGGACUAGGACACGGCCCAGACUCCUACGGGAGGCAGCAGUAGGGAAUCUUCGGCAAUGGACGAAAGUCUGACCGAGCAACGCCGCGUGAGUGAAGAAGGUUGUCGGAUCGUAAAGCGCUGUUGUAAGAGAAGAACGGGUGUGAGAGUGGAAAGUUCACACUGUGACGGUAUCUUACCAGAAAGGGACGGCUAACUACGUG
RNAcentral lists this ribosomal RNA (505 nucleotides) under uncultured bacterium. Its description in RNAcentral is "partial 16S ribosomal RNA". It matches the Rfam family "Bacterial small subunit ribosomal RNA", at positions 28 to 507 of the family's 1533-position model. The record is from RNAcentral.